This 497-nucleotide ribosomal RNA is filed under the name uncultured bacterium. Its description in RNAcentral is "partial 16S ribosomal RNA". It matches the Rfam family "Bacterial small subunit ribosomal RNA", at positions 28 to 507 of the family's 1533-position model. The record is from RNAcentral.
GACGAACGCUGGCGGCGUGCCUAAUACAUGCAAGUUGAGCGCUGAAGGUUGGUACUUGUACCAACUGGAUGAGCAGCGAACGGGUGAGUAACGCGUGGGGAAUCUGCCUUUGAGCGGGGGACAACAUUUGGAAACGAAUGCUAAUACCGCAUAAAAACUUUAAACACAAGUUUUAAGUUUGAAAGAUGCAAUUGAAUAACUCAAAGAUGAUCCCGCGUUGUAUUAGCUAGUUGGUGAGGUAAAGGCUCACCAAGGCGAUGAUACAUAGCCGACCUGGGAGGGUGAUCGGCCCAAUUGGGACUGGGACACGGCCCAAACUCCUACGGGAGGCAGCAGUAGGGAAUCUUCGGCAAUGGACGAAAGUCUGACCGAGCAACGCCGCGUGAGUGAAGAAGGUUCUCGGAUCGUAAAACUCUGUUGGUAGAGAAGAACGUUGGUGAGAGUGGAAAGCUCAUCAAGUGACGGUAACUACCCAGAAAGGGACGGCUAACUACGUG